Non-coding RNA from Triticum aestivum (bread wheat), 135 nucleotides. Lineage: Eukaryota; Viridiplantae; Streptophyta; Magnoliopsida; Poales; Poaceae. The record is from Rfam.
CUAGUACUCCCUCCGUCUGAAAAUACUUGUCAUUAAAAUGGAUAAAAAAAGAUGUAUCUAGAACUAAAAUACGUCUAGAUACAUCUUCUUUUAUUCAUUUUGAUGACAAGUAUUUCCGUACGGAUGGAGUACCGG